This is a non-coding RNA of Phascolarctos cinereus (koala), 475 nucleotides long. NCBI's taxonomy places the organism in Eukaryota, Metazoa, Chordata, Mammalia, Diprotodontia, Phascolarctidae. The record is from RefSeq and is a predicted model, not a curated record.
CAAAUAACAACCGUAUAUGGAUUGCUGAGAGAAAGACAGAACAGUGAAAAUGGGUGAUGACGGGACCAACGAGUGGCAAUAGCCAUACGAGUGGCAGAAAGAGUCAGAGGAGCUGUGGAGGAGAAGACAUAUGUGGAUGAACUACCCCUGGGAGCCUUGCUAAAGCCAUAGUUAUGGCUACAUUGGGGCUGUACAGGCAGCUGGAAGGGAACUUGCUCACUGCUAAAAGAAAGGGAAGUAGAAUCCAUUCCCCCCCUUUCCUUCGGGGCUGGCUUUAGAGUAGACCAACACCAGAGUGGAGAGAAAAUUUCCAGAAAUCUGAAAAGAAAGGCCUGCACUGGUGAGCAAGCCCUGGGAGUCAUGAUGGCUGUUAUGCAAGAGAAAUACUGUUGGUGUGGUUUGGCUGCCAAAGGCUUUUGGAGAAAUCUGUCUAACCAUUUUGUUCUUUCCCCCGAAGACAAUUUGUUCCCUAGGG